AGAUUCGAAUGGUGGAGAACUGGGUCCUUGAGGAGUCACCGGGGAGACUGCUCGCACUGUUUGCGGUGCGACGGGCACUGGCCCAGGGACAGAGCGAAGAGAAGGGCCAGCCAGCGGCAGUGGAGUCGGCAGGCUGGCUGCCCACUCGCUUUCUCUCCUCACAAGACUCGCUUCCCCGGCCUUCGAGGAUCUCGAACGGACUAUAGUCUGGACUCGCUGGGCUGGAGGAAACUUGGCCGCUGGCCACCCGGAGGAGACUGAGAAGCCUUUGGUCAACAGGGCGCCUUUCCUUGAACCAAAACAAAACUUUCCGGAGCCGGAAAGGAAACGCCCAGUGUCGCCUGAGAGCCCUGGAGCUGCGCGAGACCCAGGCACUGAGUGCGGCCUCGGCCGCUGACCUCUAACACGCCGGGAACAAACCAGCUGGGGCGGCCCGCAGGCCUGCGGGAGCGGAAUGUGACCCGAAACCGACGGACUUCCUGACCCAUAGUUCAUAGUUCUCUUUAGCAACUUGAACAUUUUGGAAAAAGAAACAAGUCUUAACAUGCCUCGACCUAAUGGAAAAACUAAAUCCCCUUCCUACACCUUGCUUUCCAAAAGUUAAAAAAAAAUAAUUAAACGCUAUUAGAGGUCUCAAGUUCACUGUCACCAGAUCAGCUAGGUCCAGAAUCUUCAGUUCUUGAAGCCAAGCCCUACAAAUAGAUUUAUUGUAGCAUAUCACACCUCUUCAGGUGACUUAAAACAAUGAACACCAAUAAGAUAACAAUUCAUGAGAAAUUAUCUUCAUCCUCAAGUAAAAAUCAUGAGGUGCCUUUCACAUGGAUGAAAUUUGGAAUUUGAAGAAGGAAUGGCAAAGCGGAAGUCCUUCUCCUAUUUGAUGUCUUAACUUGUUUUUACUGGAAGUCACUUCCUCUUUUGUCUCAGAGGCUGAUUCGCCUCCCAUAACCAGUGAUUUUCCUGUAAGCUCAUUAUCCUGGAUGAUGGUUUGACUAACCAAGGCUACUGGCUGCUGAGGGGUUUCUGAGGAAACUUUGGUAGCCUGAUUGAGGCCAUCUGCCUCUCCACCUGGGCUCUAGUUGUGGAGUACACCACUCUGUUCAUGGAGGCCAUGCACACUGGCCAGAGAAGAGCAGCCCAUGUGCAAAAGGAUCCAAGUAAGCAUUUUCCAUUCUCACAGGUCAAAUAAGAGGACUUCCCACAUUUAUUCAGAAGGUAGUUGAAAGUGGUCAGCCCCAGAUCUCCUCUAUGUGACUCUUUGGUUGAUGCUACUUGUACCUCAACACUUGGAAGGCCCGUUCUGGACAGGAGCAACUUUCACUUUACUCUGGAAACGUGGGCAGGUGGGCACAGAAUAGAGUGAAUCUGAGGCAGAAACUCCUUCAGGCUAACUUUGUGACGGACACUGUUCUAAGUCUUUAGGUGAGUUAACUCAUUUAGUCUUCAAGACAAUCCUCUGAAGUAGGUAUUUUUAUCAUCCUCAGUUUACAGACACAGAAACUGAGACACAGAAAGGCCAUUCAGCCACUCAGUGGUUGAGGCAGGACUGACACUCAAGAAGUCUUGUGACAGUUGUAAUGAGUUAGUCGUGAUGGUGGCUACCAGGUAGGUGUGUGGAUAGAUGUGUGGUGGCCUCUCCUCUGAUGGAAAACUCCCAAAGCACUGAAACAGUCUGGUAGCUGUAGUUGCCGAGGUGUGUAGGGGCAUCGGUGAGCUCAGCAGACUGUGUUCCAAGUCACAUUAAAGAGGCAGAUUUAUUGCAAGCCUAUCUCCUAGAGACAGAAUGUAUUUUCCAAAAAUGGGCAACACACUGUGUCCCAUCUCACAUGCUGUUCUUAUAAUAUAACUUUGAUACUACAUUCUUAUUUAGAAAUGGAAGCCCACGUUUCCUCCCUUUGAUGCUGGGCAGAAUUGUGACUACAAUGAAAAUAAUGCUAUAUGGCUUUUGAGGCUAGGUCCUAAAAGGUAAUGCAAUAUACGUAUAGUUCUCUUGGAACAUUUAAUAUUGAAAUCCGACCACCACGCUGUAAAGAAGACUGCAGCCCACGGAGAAGUCCACACAGCCAGAAACUGAGGCCCAAGGCUCACAUCCCCAGCUGAGCUCCUGGCCUACAGCCAGCCCCAAGGUGCCGUCAUGUGAAUGAGACAUUUUGAAAGUGGAUCCCCCAGGCCCAGGCAAGCCAUUCCUGACAAUAAAAUGUGGAACAGAGAUGUGAUUCCUUUUUAAGACCUCCCCAAAUAACAGAUUCCUAAGCAAAAAUAAAGGACUGUUGUUGUUUUAA
This is a long non-coding RNA of Gorilla gorilla gorilla (western lowland gorilla), 2279 nucleotides long. RefSeq lists it as uncharacterized. Lineage: Eukaryota; Metazoa; Chordata; Mammalia; Primates; Hominidae. The transcript is spliced from 2 exons. The record is from RefSeq and is a predicted model, not a curated record.